RNAcentral lists this ribosomal RNA (400 nucleotides) under uncultured bacterium. Its description in RNAcentral is "bacterial SSU rRNA". It matches the Rfam family "Bacterial small subunit ribosomal RNA", at positions 355 to 747 of the family's 1533-position model. The record is from RNAcentral.
UAGGGAAUAUUGGACAAUGGGGGCAACCCUGAUCCAGCCAUGCCGCGUGUGUGAAGAAGGCCUUCGGGUUGUAAAGCACUUUUGUCCGGAAAGAAAUCCUGCAGGUUAAUACUCUGCGGGGAUGACGGUACCGGAAGAAUAAGCACCGGCUAACUUCGUGCCAGCAGCCGCGGUAAUACGAAGGGUGCAAGCGUUACUCGGAAUUACUGGGCGUAAAGCGUGCGUAGGCGGUUUGUUAAGUCUGAUGUGAAAUCCCCGGGCUCAACCUGGGACGUGCAUUGGAAACUGGCGAUCUAGAGUACGGUAGAGGGUGGUGGAAUUCCCGGUGUAGCAGUGAAAUGCGUAGAGAUCGGGAGGAACACUCGUGGCGAAGGCGGCCACCUGGACCAGUACUGACGCU